RNAcentral lists this ribosomal RNA (488 nucleotides) under uncultured bacterium. RNAcentral's name for it is "partial 16S ribosomal RNA". It matches the Rfam family "Bacterial small subunit ribosomal RNA", at positions 28 to 507 of the family's 1533-position model. The record is from RNAcentral.
GAUGAACGCUGGCGGCGUGCUUAACACAUGCAAGUCGAACGGAAAGGUGCGGCUCUUGCUGGGUGGUCGUGUGGCGAACGGGUGAGAAAAACGCGUGUAAAAUCUACUUGACUUAGUGGUAUCUCCUGGGGAAUGGGGCGCAUACCGGAUAUGAGAUCUUGCUGCACAGUGGUGGUUGGUAAGUGUCGGUGGUUGGGGCUGGUCUCGCGGCGUACCAGCUAGUUGGUGUGGUAAUGGGUUACCAAGGCUUCGACGGGAAGCCCGCGUGAGCGGGUGAUCGCCCACACUGGAACGGAAACAGGGUCAAGACUACUACGGGAGGGAGCAGUAGGGAAUCGUACGCAAUGGGCGAAAGCAUGACGGAGCAACGCGGAGUGAGUGAUGACGGUGUCCGGAUCGUAAUACUCUGUUACGAGGGGAAAACAAAUGUGUAAGUAACUAUGCACGGCUUGACGGUACCUGAUCAGAAAGCCACGGCUAACUACGUG